RNAcentral lists this ribosomal RNA (446 nucleotides) under uncultured bacterium. RNAcentral describes it as "bacterial SSU rRNA". It matches the Rfam family "Bacterial small subunit ribosomal RNA", at positions 29 to 469 of the family's 1533-position model. The record is from RNAcentral.
AACGAACGCUGGCGGCGCGCUUAACACAUGCAAGUCGAACGAGAAGGCGUAGCAAUACGCUUGUACAGUGGCGAACGGGUGAGUAAUACGUGGGCGACCUACCCUCGAGUGGGGAAUAACCCGCCGAAAGGCGGGCUAAUGCCGCGUACGCUUCCAUCUUUAUGGAGGUGGAAGGAAAGCCGUGCCGUGGGCACGGCGCUCAAGGAUGGGCUCACGUCCUAUCAGCUUGUUGGAGGGUAACGGCCUACCAAGGCUCCGACGGGUAGCUGGUCUGAGAGGACGAUCAGCCACACUGGCACUGCGACACGGGCCAGACUCCUACGGGAGGCAGCAGUGAGGAAUAUUGCGCAAUGGGCGAAAGCCUGACGCAGCGACGCCGCGUGGGGGAUGAAGGUCUUCGGAUUGUAAACCCCUUUCGGGAGGGAAGAUGGGACGGGCAACCGUCC